Molecule: transfer RNA, 67 nt
Filed under: Aloconota cambrica
Lineage: Eukaryota; Metazoa; Arthropoda; Insecta; Coleoptera; Staphylinidae
Description: tRNA-Leu
Source: RNAcentral
UUCUAAUAUGGCAGAUUAGUGCAUUGGAUUUAAACCCCACUCAUAAAGAUUACAUCUUUUUUUAGAA